RNAcentral lists this ribosomal RNA (441 nucleotides) under uncultured bacterium. RNAcentral describes it as "partial 16S ribosomal RNA". It matches the Rfam family "Bacterial small subunit ribosomal RNA", at positions 338 to 795 of the family's 1533-position model. The record is from RNAcentral.
CCUACGGGUGGCAGCAGUGGGGGAUAUUGCACAAUGGGGGGAACCCUGAUGCAGCGACGCCGCGUGGGUGAAGGAGCGUUUCGGCGCGUAAAGCCCUAUCGGCAGGGAAGAAGGAGGACGGUACCUGACUAAGAAGCCCCGGCUAACUACGUGCCAGCAGCCGCGGUAAUACGUAGGGGGCAAGCGUUAUCCGGAUUUACUGGGUGUAAAGGGGGCGUAGACGGCGAGGUAAGCCUGAAGUGGAAGCCCGCGGCCCAACCGCGGAACUGCUUUGGGAACUGUUUUGCUGGAGUAUGGGAGGGGUAAGCGGAAUUCCUGGUGUAGCGGUGAAAUGCGUAGAUAUCAGGAGGAACACCGGUGGCGAAGGCGGCUUACUGGACCAUAACUGACGUUGAGGCUCGAAAGCGUGGGGAGCGAACAGGAUUAGAUACCCGGGUAGUC